UGAGGAAUUUUGCGCAAUGGGGGAAACCCUGACGCAGCGACGCCGCGUGGAGGAUGAAGUAUCUCGGUAUGUAAACUCCUGUCAGUGGGGAUGAUGAUGACAGUACCCACAGAGGAAGCACCGGCUAACUCCGUGCCAGCAGCCGCGGUAAGACGGAGGGUGCAAGCGUUGUUCGGAAUUACUGGGCGUAAAGCGUACGUAGGCGGUGGAUUAAGUCGAAUGUUAAAGCCUGGGGCUCAACCCCAGAGAUGCAUUCGAUACUGGUUCACUAGAGGGUGAUAGAGGAAAGCGGAAUUCCGAGUGUAGCGGUGAAAUGCGUAGAUAUUCGGAGGAACAUCAGUAGCGAAGGCGGCUUUCUGGGUCACACCUGACGCUGAGGUACGAAAGCGUGGGGAGCAAA
This 400-nucleotide ribosomal RNA is filed under the name uncultured bacterium. Its description in RNAcentral is "bacterial SSU rRNA". It matches the Rfam family "Bacterial small subunit ribosomal RNA", at positions 355 to 772 of the family's 1533-position model. The record is from RNAcentral.